ACUAAGGGGGUGUUAUUAGUU
Molecule: small nuclear RNA, 21 nt
Filed under: Arabidopsis thaliana (thale cress)
Lineage: Eukaryota; Viridiplantae; Streptophyta; Magnoliopsida; Brassicales; Brassicaceae
Description: snRNA_04446
Source: RNAcentral